RNAcentral lists this unclassified non-coding RNA (165 nucleotides) under soil metagenome. Its description in RNAcentral is "partial contains 5.8S ribosomal RNA, internal transcribed spacer 2, and large subunit ribosomal RNA". The record is from RNAcentral.
AACCAUAGAAACCUGCGGAGUACCUGCGGAGGGAUCAUUAUUAAUUUUAAGCGGACUGAGCUUUCUUUGGUGAGGUCUUGCGAAAAUUGUAUUUAAAACACCCGCUCGUAAAAAAACAUUUAAUUAAAAUUUUCAUAAUUAAAGAUAACUUUUAACAAUGGAUCU